Molecule: ribosomal RNA, 335 nt
Filed under: uncultured bacterium
Lineage: Bacteria
Description: bacterial SSU rRNA
Rfam family: Bacterial small subunit ribosomal RNA
Source: RNAcentral
AAUGAACGUUGGCGGCGUGGAUUAGGCAUGCGAGUCGUACGAGAACCCGCAAGGGGGAAAGUGGCGAACGGGGUAGUAAUGCGUAGGUGACGUGCCCUGCGGUCGGGGAUAGCUUAGGGAAACUUAAGGUAAUACCCGAUGACACCAUGCGGUUUGAAUACCAUAUGGUCAAAGGUGUGAUUCCACCACAGGAGCGGCUUGCGUGGUAUUAGCUAGUUGGUGAGGUAACGGCUCACCAAGGCAACGAUGCCUAGGGGAUGUUAGCGCAUGAUCCCCACCACUGGGACUGAGAUACUGCCAGACACCUACGGGUGGCUGCAGUCGAGAAUCUUCGG